This 361-nucleotide long non-coding RNA is filed under the name Homo sapiens (human). RNAcentral's name for it is "non-protein coding BBOX1-AS1:10". Lineage: Eukaryota; Metazoa; Chordata; Mammalia; Primates; Hominidae. The record is from RNAcentral.
AAACUCUGCCUGCUUUUAGAUGGCUCCUCUUAGAACUAUGCAUCUCUCCUGAUACUUGGAUGCUUUUCCUCUGACUGAUGAAGAUCCUGAAUACCAAAGAGGGCCGCUGACAGGUCUAGGAGUACACUUCUAGCACCUAGCAGAGAGAGGCUUCACUACAUCAUGCUUCCUGACAUCUCUCCCUUUGAAGAGCAGUCAGACUCCUGCUUUGCUCUUCAGACUUAAUUUGGGGGUUUAACAGCAUGGCUGGGCUGGAGUUUUUUGAUAGUGUUCGACUUCAGCAAGUCUCUACACGAGCCUCUGAUCUAGUGUUGGAACAAAGCAAUGGCGAAGGGAAGCCCAGCUUGGAAUGAGUCAGGCC